Long non-coding RNA from Prosopis cineraria, 1809 nucleotides. RefSeq lists it as uncharacterized. Lineage: Eukaryota; Viridiplantae; Streptophyta; Magnoliopsida; Fabales; Fabaceae. The transcript is spliced from 8 exons. The record is from RefSeq and is a predicted model, not a curated record.
AUUUUAUUAUUUAAAAAAAUUAUUUAAUAAAAUAAUUUAAAUGGUGAGAAUUGGAGAGGUGGGGAGAGAAAAAUGGAGAGACUCCUCUGCCUAACCGCCUCAGGACACAUUUCAUUGCUUUACGAUCUCAACGACGCCCAUCAAGGAGCAGAGUUUGACUAUAAAGUGAAUUUUCCCCUGCUAUGAUGUAACUCAGAUGAAGAAGCAAUUAUCUGACGUUGAAGUUGACCCAAAAAUAUCUCUCAUUGGUCAUUUUUUACAGUCUAAUUAAUACCUUCCUUAGAUUGGCACCAUUCCUAUCGACGCUGGGUUAUUGGGUUUGUGAUCGGAAAUCAUCAAUUUUGUGUAUAUCGCUAGGACUGGUGAAUGAUGAUUGAUCUGGCAGGAGGAUGCAACGAGAUCGGCAAAGGCAUUUCAUUUCCUUUAUAUUUUUUCCGAUGAGAGAUAUCCCAGGUUGUAGGCUCUGAAGGGAAGGGAAGUGUGUUGCUGGCUAUGGAGGAGCUGAACAAGCUGAAGCGGGUGAGUAUUGAUGCUUCUGAGGCAAUCUCGGUUGGGAUAUAGUGAUAUCGCUUCUUGAUGUUAUGACGAGUGCAUUCCAGGUCAGUUCAGUUGCUUGAGGCCGAACUUGUAUCUUAAAAGCCAGACGGUAUUGGCAUGAAUCAAGAGUUUUGCCUUAUUUUGAUUUUUAGAUCUGUGGCAUUUAUUGGUGGUCUGCCUUCAAGUUGAGCGAUAGGCUGGAGAUACUUUUAGAGGAAGGCAUAAAGAUAUGGCGCCUACGGAUGGUUGAUUGCGUGAGAAAGUAGCAUUGGAGAUUGGUCCUUGAAGUUUGUUCUCUUUUCGGCCAAAAACAGUAGGAUUAGAUCUUGUACGGAGACUUUACCAGUUUUUUGCAGAUUCUGGUGACGCUUUGAUCUCUUCUGAAUUCUGUUCAUGAGUAUUUUUAUCUAACUUUAAAGGUUAAAUUCUGCAUAUUCUAAAUCUUUUACUGAGUACAAUGAUUUAACAUUGUAUAUAAUUUAUGCUCUCAUGGUGGAUGAACACAGCAAAACAUGAAUUUUCACUUGGCCUUGCAUAAAAGCUGAGGUAUGCACUACAAUAGGGGUCAUAAAAUCUGAUAGCAGUGAGCACUGCAAUUUAAGAUUUGCUCGCUUCAAGUAAUUGGAUUUGAUCUCUGACUUAAUACUACUUAGUUAGUAGUACGAUCAAUCAACAUCUAGAGUUGAAUGUGAUGUUAAUAUUUUUGCCACCUUUGUACGACUCUCAACGGAUCUGAUGAAGGGGUCAUGAUGACUGUAUCAAGCACACUUUCAACUGCUCUGGCUCGGCCAACUAUAUUUCUUGUAGGAACUUGUUGGUGGGGUGAAGAGAACACGGUGAGCACAAGAUUCAAGGGAUUGGUGCUGGUUUAUUACCUAGGGUGCUGGGAGUUAGUCUUCUAGAUGAAGUUGUCCAAAUAUUCCUUCACCACCAUUGAUAGGAAGGGGGUUGGAGACACAGUAUAAAUUGCAUGGGGUGAUGAAUGUGGACUUCUCAAGGAUUAUUUUGUUUCCCAUCAACUCAUAGACUUUGGAAUUCCUGAAGAACAUCGCAAAAAACCUGUUACAAUGCCCAAAGUGAUAGUACAAAUUAAAAUUUCCUUUUUUAUCAUGCCGAUUGCAAAAGUUUGUUUAACGUUUAUUUAUAAAAUUGAUGUAAUUUUAUUUGGAUGCUUAAAUUUUUUUUGUUGCAGCCUGAUGAAUUUCUGACUUAAUGGGUGCAAUAUGUGCCUAAGACACAUUCCUGCAUUACUUUAUUAUUAUUAUUAUUAUU